AGUAAAAGUCGUAACAAGGUUUCCGUAGGUGAACCUGCGGAAGGAUCAUUACCUAGAGUUGUAGGCUUUGCCUGCUAUCUCUUACCCAUGUCUUUUGAGUACUUACGUUUCCUCGGCGGGUCCGCCCGCCGAUUGGACAAUUUAAACCAUUUGCAGUUGCAAUCAGCGUCUGAAAAACUUUAAUAGUUACAACUUUCAACAACGGAUCUCUUGGUUCUGGCAUCGAUGAAGAACGCAGCGAAAUGCGAUAAGUAGUGUGAAUUGCAGAAUUCAGUGAAUCAUCGAAUCUUUGAACGCACAUUGCGCCCCUUGGUAUUCCAUGGGGCAUGCCUGUUCGAGCGUCAUUUGUACCUUCAAGCUUUGCUUGGUGUUGGGUGUUUGUCUCGCCUUUGCGUGUAGACUCGCCUUAAAACAAUUGGCAGCCGGCGUAUUGAUUUCGGAGCGCAGUACAUCUCGCGCUUUGCACUCAUAACGACGACGUCCAAAAGUACAUUUUUACACUCUUGACCUCGGAUCAGGUAGGGAUACCCGCUGAACUUAAGCAUAUCAAUAAGCGGAGGAAAAGAAACCAACAGGGAUUGCCCUAGUAACG
RNAcentral lists this ribosomal RNA (592 nucleotides) under uncultured fungus. Its description in RNAcentral is "eukaryotic LSU rRNA". The stretch from base 191 to 344 matches the Rfam family "5.8S ribosomal RNA". The record is from RNAcentral. Lineage: Eukaryota; Fungi.